AUCCAAUCACCAAGCUCCACACCAUCUUUCUUAUGGACCAUGUUUUCUGUACUCCACUCUGCAAUAAUCAAAUAACAUCUUGUAUUCAUAUUUUUUCCCACUAUUAUUAUAAUUGGAUAUGCAAAAAAAAAAUAGCUUCAUCCAUUGAAAGCUAAACAUGUUUUUGGAUAAAAAUAUAUUAAAUUUGAAAAAAUGAAUUUAGACUAUAAUAUUAAAAAAUAUUUAAAAAAUAAAUUGGGUUUUAGUUAAAUAUUUGAAGUAUAGACAUAGAUAGAAUUAAUUAAUUAUAAAUAUAGAUAAAUUUCAACAAAAUUUAUAGAUGCCAUUAAUAUGAUAUGUGUGUGUUGAUCCAACCUGAGGUCUAAUUAAAGCUUUCCAUGUCAGAGUUUACGUUAGAAUUUAGAACACCCUCUAUAUUUUUGCUAUAUUAGACAUACUUAAAUUUUAAACCCCAUAAGAGAAUAUGCAUAUACAUAUACAUAUAGAUAUACAUACCGUAUCGGUUCCAGCAGGGCCUGGUGAAGAAGCGCCGAGGCUGGGAGUAGGGGCCUCAUUUGAUGGAGACGGUGGGCUGGAGGCCGAAGGUGAUAGUGCUGGAGACUUAGCUUUGGUCUUGCUAGGGGCCGGAGCUGGAACCGUGGCAGGAGGAGAAGCCAAAGGAGCUGGUGGUGGGGUAGCUGGAGGAGGAGUAGCAGGAGGGGGAGAAGCAGGUGGUGGGGUAGCCGGAGGUGGAGAAGCCGGUGGGGGAGUUGCGGGAGGUGGAGUAGCCGGGGGAGGAGAAGCUGGUGGUGGGGAGCUAACGGGCGGGGGAGUCGCUGGAGGAGGAGUGGAAACUGGUGGUGGUGAUGAAGUAGGAGGAGGAGAGGAAGCUGGUGGCGGAGAAGUAGUUGUGGGUGUUGGAGGUGGUUGAGUAGUAGGUGGAGGUGUGGAAGCGGGUGGAGUCGGCGGCGCCGGCGUGGAUGUCGGAGGAUUACUAGGAGUAGGAGGAGCUUGGCCUAAAACGCCAGCUACAGCAAUGCAAAACAAAGCUGAUAAGAACAAAAACUUAUUAUUAAGCAUCAUAUUGGAAACAAUG
Molecule: long non-coding RNA, 1075 nt
Filed under: Gossypium barbadense (sea-island cotton)
Lineage: Eukaryota; Viridiplantae; Streptophyta; Magnoliopsida; Malvales; Malvaceae
Description: long non-coding RNA (GBAR_LNC012156)
Source: RNAcentral